RNAcentral lists this microRNA precursor (64 nucleotides) under Callorhinchus milii (elephant shark). RNAcentral's name for it is "Cmi-Mir-92-P1d_pre stem-loop". Lineage: Eukaryota; Metazoa; Chordata; Chondrichthyes; Chimaeriformes; Callorhinchidae. The record is from RNAcentral.
UGGUGCGGGGGUGAAGUGCAAUGUUGUGACCUGAACGAACAAUAUUGCACUUGUCCCGGCCUCC